CCCGCGUGGGUUUCAUCACUUUCAUGGGUGGUGGUGAUGAGGGGUCUUGUCUGAAUUUCAAUUACCAACGUGUGUAAAGAUGAGUGAAAUAAUUUGAACGAUUAAAGAGACGGGAGUCACUUUAUUGGCCUCUAAAUUCUUCAUGGCCAAAAGGCACUCUGAUUUGUCCUUGGUCAAAUCAUUGGAUCACAUGGCUUGACUGCUGUCCAUUUUGCCUUUUUUCCAUAAUGUCCUCCAUUUCGAUGUGUACCAGCUGUAUGUCUCAUCCGAUACUGAAACACUUUACAGAAGAAGUUUCACAGCCAGGUUAAGUCUGAGCUUCUGCAGUGCUGUCUAAUAACAUGCUCAUGGAUUUGUUGCAUCUUCAUUGAAGUCCAAUGUGGACA
Molecule: long non-coding RNA, 386 nt
Organism: Daphnia pulicaria
Lineage: Eukaryota; Metazoa; Arthropoda; Branchiopoda; Diplostraca; Daphniidae
Exons: 4
Source: RefSeq, a predicted model, not a curated record